This 253-nucleotide ribosomal RNA is filed under the name uncultured bacterium. RNAcentral's name for it is "partial 16S ribosomal RNA". It matches the Rfam family "Bacterial small subunit ribosomal RNA", at positions 524 to 776 of the family's 1533-position model. The record is from RNAcentral.
UACGUAGGGGGCGAGCGUUGUCCGGAAUCAUUGGGCGUAAAGCGCGUGUAGGCGGCCCGGUAAGUCCGCUGUGAAAGUCCAGGGCUCAACCCUGGGAUGCCGGUGGAUACUGUCGGGCUAGAGUCCGGAAGAGGAGUGUGGAAUUCCUGGUGUAGCGGUGAAAUGCGCAGAUAUCAGGAGGAACACCAAUGGCGAAGGCGGCCCACUGGUCCGGUACUGACGCUGAGGUGCGAAAGCGUGGGGAGCAAACAGG